RNAcentral lists this ribosomal RNA (576 nucleotides) under uncultured bacterium. RNAcentral describes it as "bacterial SSU rRNA". It matches the Rfam family "Bacterial small subunit ribosomal RNA", at positions 102 to 674 of the family's 1533-position model. The record is from RNAcentral.
ACGGGUGAGUAAUACAUCGGAACGUAUCCUGGAGUGGGGGAUAGCCCGGCGAAAGCCGGAUUAAUACCGCAUACGCUCUGAGGAGGAAAGCGGGGGACCUUCGGGCCUCGCGCUCAAGGGGCGGCCGAUGGCGGAUUAGGUAGUUGGUGGGGUAAAGGCCUACCAAGCCGACGAUCCGUAGCUGGUCUGGGAGGACGACCAGCCACACUGGGACUGAGACACGGCCCAGACUCCUACGGGAGGCAGCAGUGGGGAAUUUUGGACAAUGGGGGCAACCCUGAUCCAGCAAUGCCGCGUGUGUGAAGAAGGCCUUCGGGUUGUAAAGCACUUUUGUCCGGAAAGAAAUCAUCGGGGCCAAUACCCCUGGUGGAUGACGGUACCGGAAGAAUAAGCACCGGCUAACUACGUGCCAGCAGCCGCGGUAAUACGUAGGGUGCGAGCGUUAAUCGGAAUUACUGGGCGUAAAGCGUGCGCAGGCGGUGCUGUAAGACCGAUGUGAAAUCCCCGGGCUUAACCUGGGAACUGCAUUGGUGACUGCAGCGCUGGAGUAUGGCAGAGGGGGGUGGAAUUCCACGU